This 253-nucleotide ribosomal RNA is filed under the name uncultured bacterium. Its description in RNAcentral is "partial 16S ribosomal RNA". It matches the Rfam family "Bacterial small subunit ribosomal RNA", at positions 524 to 776 of the family's 1533-position model. The record is from RNAcentral.
UACGUAGGGUGCAAGCGUUAAUCGGAAUUACUGGGCGUAAAGCGUGCGCAGGCGGUUUUGUAAGACAGAGGUGAAAUCCCCGGGCUUAACCUGGGAACUGCCUUUGUGACUGCAUCGCUGGAGUGCGGCAGAGGGGGAUGGAAUUCCGCGUGUAGCAGUGAAAUGCGUAGAUAUGCGGAGGAACACCGAUGGCGAAGGCAAUCCCCUGGGCCUGCACUGACGCUCAUGCACGAAAGCGUGGGGAGCAAACAGG